RNAcentral lists this ribosomal RNA (253 nucleotides) under uncultured bacterium. Its description in RNAcentral is "partial 16S ribosomal RNA". It matches the Rfam family "Bacterial small subunit ribosomal RNA", at positions 524 to 776 of the family's 1533-position model. The record is from RNAcentral.
GACGAACCGAGCGAACGUUGUUCGGAAUCACUGGGCUUAAAGGGCGCGUAGGCGGGUGCUCAAGUCUGGGGGGAAAUCCUCCGGCUCAACCGGAGAACUGCCGUGGAUACUGGGUGCCUCGAGGGUGGUAGGGGUAUGCGGAACUAUCGGUGGAGCGGUGAAAUGCGUUGAUAUCGAUAGGAACUCCGGUGGCGAAGGCGGCAUACUGGACCACAUCUGACGCUGAGGCGCGAAAGCCAGGGGAGCAAACGGG